Molecule: ribosomal RNA, 305 nt
Filed under: uncultured bacterium
Lineage: Bacteria
Description: bacterial SSU rRNA
Rfam family: Bacterial small subunit ribosomal RNA
Source: RNAcentral
CUAUACCUACGGGGGGCAGCAGUAGGGAAUCUUCCACAAUGGGCGAAAGCCUGAUGGAGCAACGCCGCGUGGGUGAAGAAGGUCUUCGGAUCGUAAAACCCUGUUGUUAGAGAAGAAAGUGCGUGAGAGUAACUGUUCACGUUUCGACGGUAUCUAACCAGAAAGCCACGGCUAACUACGUGCCAGCAGCCGCGGUAAUACGUAGGUGGCAAGCGUUAUCCGGAUUUAUUGGGCGUAAAGGGAACGCAGGCGGGCUUUUAAGUCUGAUGUGAAAGCCUUCUGCUUAACCGGAGUAGUGCAUUGGG